Melanotaenia boesemani (Boeseman's rainbowfish) is the source of this 82-nucleotide small nucleolar RNA. Lineage: Eukaryota; Metazoa; Chordata; Actinopteri; Atheriniformes; Melanotaeniidae. The record is from RefSeq and is a predicted model, not a curated record.
GCUGUCAAUGAUGAUUUUAUCUCAAUAAUUUGAGUUUAACUGACCAUGAGAAUACCUUACAUGCACUACCAUCUGAGACAGC